This 1575-nucleotide unclassified non-coding RNA is filed under the name Neodiprion pinetum (white pine sawfly). RNAcentral describes it as "uncharacterized LOC124218642". The record is from RNAcentral. Lineage: Eukaryota; Metazoa; Arthropoda; Insecta; Hymenoptera; Diprionidae.
UGUUCACUUUACGGUUGAGCACUAAGAGAAGCGGUAGCGCUGCGAGUGGCCUAGCCGGGAACUAGCGUCCAUCUUCUUCCGGCGUCCAUUUUCCGCGCGUUGUCCUGUUCUUGUCGGUACGUCGCGAGUAUUUCAACAAUUUCUGGAGAGACAAUCCCAAGCUUAAUGGACGGCUCACCAACCGGCAGAGGAGGAUUUCGCGGUCGUGGAGGACCCGGCGGACCGCCGAUGAGGGGACGCGGCGGCUUUGGCGACAGAGGACGAGGUGGACCUCCUAGAGGUGGCAUGAUGCGAGGUGGCCGAGGGGGAGGUCCUGGCGGACCGGGAGGAAUGCGAGGAGGACCCCCUGGAAUGAGAGGCAGAGGCGGGCCACCUGGUCGAGGUGGACGUGGCGGACACUUUCCCCCAGGAGGUCCACCAGAUGUGGGAAUGGUAGCGGGUCCAGGAGGUGGCCCUCCUCCACCAGGCAUGGCAGGUCCUCCAAGAGGAGGUCGAGGCGGCGGUGGAGUUGGCGGCUUCCGAGGUGGGAGAGGCAGAGGCGACUUUGGUAGAGGUGACAUGCGCGGUGGUGGUGGAGGCUUCAGAGGACGUGGAGGCGGUAUGGACCGAGGAGGUGGUAGGGGGGGUGGCCGUGGUGGUGGCGGUCCCCCAAGAGGUGGUCCGGGCGGCAGAGGUGGGUUUGGAGAUCGAGGUGGUAGAGGAGGCAUUGGCGGCAGAGGAGGUGCUAUCAAGCGGGGUGGUGGUCCAAUGGGAGCUGGUGGUCCGGCAAAGAGGCCCAGGUUCGAUCAGGCACCCUCGCAGAAUUCAAACGGUUAUUCUGCCCCACCAAAUAACCAGGGUUAUGGCGGUGGUGGACCACCCGGCAAUGGCUACUCUCAGCAGCAGCUACCGCCGCAGCAACAACAGCAACAACCACAGCCAGGAGGUGGAGGAUACGGUGGAUACUCGGCACAGCAGGGACCCUAUGCUCAGCCUUAUUCUGGCUAUGAGAGCUAUCAGCAGGCACCCGAUUACGCCCAACCUACCGGAUACGCAGCACCAGCGCCAACAGACGGAAGGUAUGGCGGAGCACCCAACGUACCACCUACAGCUGCCUACAACUCGGCCGACCCCUAUAGCUAUGGAAAAGCAUCCGCACCCGGUGACCCGUACGCAGCCGGUUACCAGCAGGGGGCUGCAGCGGGUGCGGCAGCUGGGGGUGGCGGUUACGCCCCUGCCAACCCCUAUGAUGACCGAUCCUCUAACGCCACCACCGCAACAACCGGGGGUGGCUACUCUACGCAGUCCUACGACUAUCCGAGUCAAGAUGGCGGGUAUGGGAAACAGGACUAUGGGUGGAACCAAAGAAGAGGAUAACGAUCACUAAUCGGGUUCUUCCUCUGGUCGUAGACGAAGUCGAGCCACUCGUCGAGGGUGGUGAGGAUCCCUGACAAACCGGCGAACGCCAUACUUGACACAGGGUGACCGGAGCCUGACGCUAACCGGCCCAAAAUUACCGGAAGCACCGCUCGUCGUUCCUUCGGAGGAGUGCGGAAUCGGUUUACAUAGGCGAGGCUACUCGAAGCUCCUCGAAAU